Molecule: long non-coding RNA, 709 nt
Filed under: Scophthalmus maximus (turbot)
Lineage: Eukaryota; Metazoa; Chordata; Actinopteri; Pleuronectiformes; Scophthalmidae
Description: lncRNA (ENSSMAG00000034587.1)
Source: RNAcentral
AUGAAGCUGCGGGGUCUGAUUGAUCUUUGUCUCAUACUAUGUCUGACCUCCAACUCAAAUGGUCAAAUCUGGAGUAUUAAUGUCACUACACACAUCAAUGCAACACUGGGCGCAUCCAUGACCAUACCAUGUACAUUUACCUACCCGAAAAAACACCACACUAAGGAUGUUCAAGUUUAUUGGAAAAAGCCUGAUCGUGAACAUCAUGGAAAAUGAACCGAAAAUCUAUGUGAGGCUUGUUGCAAAGGACCAGAACUACAGUUUCGUAAAUAAACCCGUCUCCAUUUUUGUGUCCGGUGCUGAAUCAAUCAAUCUUGGCCAAGGUGUUACAAGCCCCCCACUUUUUACCUUUGAACCCACACACAUAGUGACAACGCUGCAGACUUCGUACAUGUAUGCGGCCAUCUUUGCACCACUCUUGGCACUUCUCAUCAUCACUGUUGUCGCUGCAAUUUUCUGUCACGUAAGACGCAAAAGGUCACAUUCUGUCACCAGGGUGGAAUCUGGGUAUUAUGAAAAUUUUAGCGGAGCAUCGUCAAACCAAGCCAAAAGAGAAGCAUCCUGUGAAAAUCAUGAAAACAAAAAACUUUCUGAACUCAAGGUGAUUGACGACCCCAUCUACGUUAACACCGAGGAACUUACAGGUCACACAGAUGAAAGUACGGAUCAAACUCACAAUGUGUAUGGAAAUGUUGAUUAUUCCAAAUAG